RNAcentral lists this long non-coding RNA (436 nucleotides) under Coturnix japonica (Japanese quail). Its description in RNAcentral is "lncRNA (ENSCJPG00005002870.1)". The record is from RNAcentral. Lineage: Eukaryota; Metazoa; Chordata; Aves; Galliformes; Phasianidae.
AAGCCCUGGAUCCCAAUGGGGACAUCCAGCCCCAUAGCAAAGCCCUGGAUCCCAAUGGGGACACCCAGCCCCAUAGCAAAGCCCUGGACCCCAAUGGGGACACCCAGCCCCAUAGCAAAGCCCUGGACCCCAAUGGGGACACACAACCCCAUAGCAAAGCCCUGAUCCCAAUUGGGGCACACCAGCCCCAUAGCAAAGCCCUGGAUCCCAAUGGGGACACCCAGCCCAUAGCAAAGCCCUGGAUUCCCAAGGGGGACGCCCAGCCCCAUAGCAAAGCCCUUGGACCCCAAUGGGGACACCCAUAGCAAAGUCCCACACCCCAAUGGGGACACCCAGCCCAUAGCAAAGCCCUGGAUCCCAAUGGGGACACCCAGCCCCAUAGUGGAACCCAUAACCCAAAGGAGAUGACCAAACCCCAAUACAGUGGGAUCCUCCU